Molecule: ribosomal RNA, 253 nt
Filed under: uncultured prokaryote
Description: partial 16S ribosomal RNA
Rfam family: Bacterial small subunit ribosomal RNA
Source: RNAcentral
UACGUAGGUGGCAAGCGUUGUCCGGAUUUAUUGGGUUUAAAGGGUGCGUAGGCGGUCCAUUAAGUCAGUUGUGAAAUACGGCAGCUUAACUGUCGAGGUGCAAUUGAUACUGGCGGACUUGAGUACAGACGAGGUAGGCGGAAUUGACGGUGUAGCGGUGAAAUGCAUAGAUAUCGUCAAGAACACCGAUAGCGAAGGCAGCUUACUAGACUGUAACUGACGCUGAGGCACGAAAGUGUGGGGAUCAAACAGG